RNAcentral lists this ribosomal RNA (368 nucleotides) under uncultured organism. Its description in RNAcentral is "bacterial SSU rRNA". It matches the Rfam family "Bacterial small subunit ribosomal RNA", at positions 526 to 896 of the family's 1533-position model. The record is from RNAcentral.
CGGAGGGUGCAAGUGUUAUCCGGAUUCACUGGGUUUAAAGGGUGUGUAGGCGGGCAGUUAAGUCAGUGGUGAAAUCUCCGGGCUCAACCCGGAAACUGCCAUUGAUACUAAUUGUCUUGAAUAUCGUUGAGGCAGGCGGAAUAUGUCAUGUAGCGGUGAAAUGCAUAGAUAUGACAUAGAACACCAAUUGCGAAGGCAGCUUGCUAAACGAUCAUUGACGCUGAGGCACGAAAGCGUGGGGAUCAAACAGGAUUAGAUACCCUGGUAGUCCACGCCCUAAACGAUGAUUACUCGACAUACGCGAUACACAGUGUGUGUCUGAGCGAAAGCAUUAAGUAAUCCACCUGGGAAGUACGUCCGCAAGGAUG